Tetranychus urticae (two-spotted spider mite) is the source of this 2796-nucleotide long non-coding RNA. RefSeq lists it as uncharacterized. The record is from RefSeq and is a predicted model, not a curated record. NCBI's taxonomy places the organism in Eukaryota, Metazoa, Arthropoda, Arachnida, Trombidiformes, Tetranychidae.
GAUUGAUGCGAAUCCAGCUUCCGAUUGCUUAUGCAGAGUUACUUAAGAGAGAAAGAGAGAGAGAAGGAAGAAACAGUGAUGAGAAGAAGAGAGUUAAUUGUAGGCAAAAAAGGUACCAUUUUGUAGUUAUUGUAAUUUAACUUCACGGUCAACAGGUAGUCCGUUAAAAAAGGUCAAAUUUUCUGGGCCAAAUCGAGUUAAGAACGACUUAAGGUUAACGAAAUGUUGCCUGUUACAUGUUGCUCUCGCUGCUGCUUCCCUCUCUUGUUUAUUAGCUUGCUUAACCCGUAAUGGAUUCUCAACCAUUUUUAAGCUGUUGAGGAAAAGAUAGUUACAUAAACAAUAAGGUAUCAAAAAAAUCUGUUUACCUUGUUUCCGGUUAUUAUUAACCUUGUUAUUGAUAUACUUAAAUAUAGUGAAUGAUAAGUAUUAUACUAUUUUCUAAUCAAUUGAUGUGCUCAUUGUGCAUAGCAAUGGGCUUGAGAGUUACAACUCAUUGAAAUGUGGAAAGUGAAAAUGGCAGGUUCAUUGUAGCUCUUCAUUAAUCACAGUUACGUUUUGUGCAUUUCAAGUUGAAAGAUGGCUUAACGGUUUUGGUACAUCAAUCAUAAUCUGGCAGCUACAAAUUGUAAUGGACUAUUGGAAUGGCGAGGAAAAAUGUUUUGUCAAAAACCAAAGUUACAAGCAAGAAACGCGUUCAUGUUCACCAACUUUCACUUUCAUGAUCUAUUCUGAGCUUCUCAUCAUCAUCAAGAUCAUCGUUUUACACUCUUCUCAUCUCUUAAUAAUUAUCCACUUCCGAAAGCUGUUGAACCAAUCAUUACAAAGGCUCUCACGCUCAUCAGACAACAGCCGUAACAUUUGCAAGCUCAAAUCAAGUCAAUGUAACUAACAUAAUUUUUGUCAAUUGCGAACAUCAUUUCCAAUUGAACCUGCCUCCAAAACAAAGAUAAACUCACAGGGGAAAAAGGCUGACAAUUUGUUUUCUCACCUAACCCUCAACGUCAACCAGGGUGUUUCAAUACCAGUCCAAUUUAUUUGUUCAACAUUGAACUGAUUGCUAUGGUAAUUUUGAACCCAGCAAGAUACAAACAUUUUAAAAGAGUCAAAGUUUACAAAGCAGAUGAGAGUUGAAACUCUGCUUAUCCUUGCAUAGUGUGGUCAGUGGUGCCUUUUUUGUCUCCUCUUGGUCCAAAUUGUGUCAAUAUUUGUGCUUCCGGUCAAGCAAUGGCAAGAAAAUAAGAAAAGAAAGUCAAAUCUUUACAUCUUUUCCUCUUACAAAAAAAAUAUCCAACUGAACAUUUUGUCACAUGUUUUUUAAGGGCUUUUACUAUUGACGUUUUUUGUUUACAAGUCAAGGUUCGAAUUACGUUCAAACUGACACAAUAAAUAUCCUUUGGGUUGCAAUUAUUUACCAAUUUGCAGUUGAAUAUCAGAUUAUCAAGUGAUUUGAUCGAAACAUGGAAAGACAACAAGCCGACGAGAGCAAAACUAAAUGGAAGAGUUAACUCUGAAUGAGAUUGAACAAGGACUAAAUGGUUGGCUUGAGUAUAAAUGAGGCGAAAAGGAGUUGUUAUGAUCAGAAAUUUGAAGACGUCUCGGUGGUUUGACUAUUUUCCCCGAUUUUUAAUCAUAAAUUCAACUGAAACAAAUCAGCUGAACGAUGUGUAAAGAAAUACGUUAAUCGAUUAUCCACAAAAAUUAGAAACUGUUUUGCCGUUAUUUUUAGUUCUUAUAGAGAUUGCUCAACUAGCAAGGAAGCCAUCUGAUUAAACAUAACAAUUCCCUGAAGGAAACACUUUCUUCCUUUCCAUCAUCAUUGUAAUCAUGCUGAUUAACAUGUGCAUUGAAUGUAAAGCCAACAAACUGCAACAGAUCGCGAAGUGCGUCUCACCUUAAUCAUCACAAACAUCAUCAAAUAGAUUAUAUGUUUUAAUAAUGAUUCAUAUUGAACCUUUAAUUAAUUAUCAAAAAUAUUGAAAAUGUGCAAUUCUACUGUUUCCAUUGAUUGGUUGGUUAAACGUUAUGGACAAGUUACAAAAUUAAAUGAUUGUACAAUGCAAUGGACAAGGUAAACAAGGUAAAAACACAAACUCAAGUUAAUUUGGUGUUUUGUGACAACAUCUUGCAUCGAUAUGUUAUCAACCAUUGAAUCCAUACAACGUUUAUUUUUCCUUCUUUGGAUGUGAUAAUAAUAAUAAUAUUAAUAAUAAUAAUGUUCCCAACAGAAUUGACGCAGAAAUAAUAUUAUUAAUAAUAAUAAUAGUAACAUAAAAAGUAACCUUUACUAUAAGCUUGGAGUGAAUCCAUCUGGCAUCUUUAAUAUUUCAUCAACAUUACAUUUUUUUAUCCCUAUCCUAACAUUCCCAAUUGCAUUCCCAAUAUUUGACCCUGUUCCUGGUUCCCAAAAUCCCUGUCCAAAAGGGAGUUUCAUCCUUCAUUAUAUCAAUAAUAAUCUUGAGUGUGAUUCAUGUUGUAAAGAGUACAACAUUAAUGUACAUGGAAACCCAAAGAACCAGUUUUUAUCCAUUCAGUGAGUGUCAAAAUUUUGUCUCUCUUUUUAGGCCUUUUGUUUUGUCUACAUUCAAAAUUUAUUCAUUAAAUGGGCUUAAUUUGUACAUUUACAUUUUAAUACUGCUUUCAACAUUUGCAUCAGAUGACUAACCUUUAUGCUUAAGGUCUUGCAGAUGGAAAGUUAAUAAACUCAAUUCCCAUGUCAAUGGUAUUAUAUUGGUAAACACGUGGCUCAAUCAUUCUUUAUAUUCAUGGCUUUUAUUAAAAUGGACUUAUUAUUGA